Molecule: ribosomal RNA, 250 nt
Filed under: uncultured Staphylococcus sp.
Lineage: Bacteria; Bacillati; Bacillota; Bacilli; Caryophanales; Staphylococcaceae
Description: partial 16S ribosomal RNA
Rfam family: Bacterial small subunit ribosomal RNA
Source: RNAcentral
CGUUAGCGGCGGACGGGUGAGUAACACGUAGGUAACCUACCUAUAAGACUGGGAUAACUUCGGGAAACCGGAGCUAAUACCGGAUAAUAUUUCGAACCGCAUGGUUCGAUAGUGAAAGGUGGCUUUGCUAUCACUUAUAGAUGGACCUGCGCCGUAUUAGCUAGUUGGUAAGGUAACGGCUUACCAAGGCAACGAUGCGUAGCCGACCUGAGAGGGUGAUCGGCCACACUGGAACUGAGACACGGUCCAG